AACGAACGCUGGCGGCAUGCCUAACACAUGCAAGUCGAACGAACUCUUCGGAGUUAGUGGCGCACGGGUGCGUAACGCGUGGGAAUCUGCCCUUGGGUACGGAAUAACUCAGAGAAAUUUGUGCUAAUACCGUAUAAUGACUUCGGUCCAAAGAUUUAUCGCCCAAGGAUGAGCCCGCGUAAGAUUAGCUAGUUGGUGGGGUAAAAGCCUACCAAGGCGACGAUCUUUAGCUGGUCUGAGAGGAUGAUCAGCCACACUGGGACUGAGACACGGCCCAGACUCCUACGGGAGGCAGCAGUGGGGAAUAUUGGACAAUGGGCGAAAGCCUGAUCCAGCAAUGCCGCGUGAGUGAUGAAGGCCUUAGGGUUGUAAAGCUCUUUUACCCGGGAUGAUAAUGACAGUACCGGGAGAAUAAGCUCCGGCUAACUCCGUGCCAGCAGCCGCGGU
This 447-nucleotide ribosomal RNA is filed under the name uncultured bacterium. Its description in RNAcentral is "bacterial SSU rRNA". It matches the Rfam family "Bacterial small subunit ribosomal RNA", at positions 29 to 521 of the family's 1533-position model. The record is from RNAcentral.